This 388-nucleotide ribosomal RNA is filed under the name uncultured bacterium. RNAcentral's name for it is "bacterial SSU rRNA". It matches the Rfam family "Bacterial small subunit ribosomal RNA", at positions 28 to 417 of the family's 1533-position model. The record is from RNAcentral.
GACGAACGCUGGCGGCGUGCCUAACACAUGCAAGUCGAGCGGUAAGGCCCCUUCGGGGGUACACGAGCGGCGAACGGGUGAGUAACACGUGGGUGACCUGCCCUCAGCUCUGGGAUAAGCCUGGGAAACUGGGUCUAAUACCGGAUAUGACUCCAUGACGCAUGUCGUGGGGUGGAAAGCCUUGUGCGGCUGGGGAUGGGCCCGCGGCCUAUCAGCUUGUUGGUGGGGUGANGGCCUACCAAGGCGACGACGGGUAGCCGGCCUGAGAGGGCGACCGGCCACACUGGGACUGAGACACGGCCCAGACUCCUACGGGAGGCAGCAGUGGGGAAUCUUGCGCAAUGGGCGAAAGCCUGACGCAGCGACGCCGCGUGAGGGAUGACGGCCU